CACCGUGAGGUGGAAUCUGAAAGAAGAUGGAGGAAAAACUCUGGUCCGAGGAACACGAAUCGUAUCAGGCAUAUAGCAGGGAUGAGUGUGCAAAACAACACGAAGUCAUAAGAGGUUGCGGAAUAGCACUGAUAUGUGUAAAUAUGGCUGAUAUAUGGAGCGAAAGAGA
RNAcentral lists this non-coding RNA (169 nucleotides) under uncultured Thomasclavelia sp. The record is from RNAcentral. Lineage: Bacteria; Bacillati; Bacillota; Erysipelotrichia; Erysipelotrichales; Coprobacillaceae.